Molecule: ribosomal RNA, 3489 nt
Filed under: Drosophila miranda
Lineage: Eukaryota; Metazoa; Arthropoda; Insecta; Diptera; Drosophilidae
Description: eukaryotic LSU rRNA
Rfam family: Eukaryotic large subunit ribosomal RNA (bases 2303-3331)
Source: RNAcentral
AUGCUGCGUGGUGUUGCCCGGUUCUGCUUGCGGGGUCGGGGAGGGGUGACUUGCUUGUGUUUGGCUGGUCGUGGACCGUGGUUGCCUUGAGCUGGGCGGCGACGCACCCCUAGGAUGCCCCUCCGUGCCAUCCUCUGCCUCUAGAGGCUGUGCGUCGCUCGUCCUUGGGUUGUCCAUGUCGGAUCUGGUGGGGGGAAGAAACCUUGUUUGGUUAGAACCUGACCUGUGCCACUUGUGUGCCCUGGGCCCUGGGUUUCCCUGAUCGGUGCGUUCUCUAAUUUCUGGCUAUUUCUUACUCUAAUCCCUUAAGGGGAGUUAAGCUAUCUUACUGCGUGUGUACGCGGUUGCCCCUUGUGGAGCGAGGACAUUACGGCAGCGCACUACCAUAAGUGGCCCUCAUGAACUCGCGGUUUUCCUGGUGCUGGGGUCGUCCUCAUCGUUGUCUUCUUCGUUUUCGCUGGUGAGGGUGUGCUCGACGUCGUCGCUGGUAAGGGUGUGCUCGUGGUCGUGGUAGGCCUUGAGGUCGGCUAGUCCGGCCGUUCGUCGUUGUCUUCCCGGAUGCUUCUGGAGUCGUGCUAUGGUGGGGGAAAUAAAUUUUACUACUUUGUAAGGCCCCUCAUAUUUGGGAGCCAGUUUGGCCGCUUUGGACAGGUGAUGUCGGCGUAGCAUCACGAGCGUCCCGAUCGUGGGUCUCCAUUCGCGUCGACGUAGGUUGUCGUUCCUGCUCUGCGUCUGUGAUGCCUGCUGGGUAUUUUCCUGUACGAUGGCGAAGAUUUCCUUGAGUCGCUUGGCCUUGUCGGUUGGGAUCUCUGUCACUUCGCCUAGUCCUGGGGUCGCCUCUUCGUACAAGGCUCCAGGCAACCGAGGUUCCCGGCCGAGUACGAUGAAUGCUGGGUUGAAGCCUGUGGUGUCCGAUGUGCUGCUGUUGAUGGCUAGGCUGAGUUCGGGCAGCAGCUCGUCCCAUGUCCGCUGGUCUCCAUCGAUGUACUGGGCGAUCAUGACUUUGAUCGUCAUGCUGUCUCCGGAGAACGUUAGUGCUGGUUCCAAGGAUAUCCUUGGGGACCACGGCAAGAGUGUUGAGGAAGUGAAUGUGGGUGUGGCUCCCACUUGAAAGGAUGUGUUUUACUCCUCAAAUCACAGGUCACAGAAGGCGGCUGCUCGGUGUGGUGGAACAGGUUCGACGAAUUUUGCGGAAUGAAUGGGGCCUUAGCAGGAAGGCUGUACGAACCAUAUACGGGGGUCUGUUUGUUGCUUGCACAGCAUAUGGAUCUUCGGUGUGGUGUAGUGCGGCUAUGAGUGUUGCUGGCAGAAAGAAAGUGCUGGCCUGCCAGAGAGAGAUUUUGCUUGGAUGUUUGCCGGUGUGCCGCACUGUCUCUACGGAGGCAAUGCAGGUACUCCUUGGCGCUGUCCCUCUUGACUUGGAGAUACGGCGCCGUGCUACAAGAUUAAGAGGCGUCUGCCUUUGUGUUAGAAUGAAUGGUUAGCUGAUAGGAACGUGGAGAGCUUAGGAAUUAGUGAGUGCAAGAGUUUGUUGGAUGAAUUCGUACUGUCUGACUGGCAAGUUAGAUGGGAUAGCAGUGAUGUCACGUUUGUCAGCUGUCGACCGGAGUUUGGUUUAAACCUUAGUUCUGGGUUCCUCUUGACUGGUCACGGCUCUCUCAAUGCAUUCGAGGGGCCUGAGUGACAGUGAGUGACCUUCGGGAUCUGGAUGCCUUGGGUGUUGUUGAAGUUAGGGGUGAGUUUGACGUUAGUCAAACGCUCUCCACGGUAGAUAGGGUUAGAAGUUUUAACUUUUAACUAUGCAAGGGCUGUUUUUUCCAGACGACGCUUGACGGUUUUCUGAGGAAAUAUUAUGUGUAAUUGAUUGUCAUUUUGUUUGUUUUUUCUUGUGUUUUUACUUGUGUUUAGACCCAUCGCUCUUUGCGUUGGUCUAGGGGGCCACCAACCCGUGACUGUUUUGGAGUCAAAAUUGGAAGUGUCCUUCGUGGCACGAAGCCUGACCGGAGGCUUUAUUCUGGUACCACGGGAGCCAGAGCCCGCGGAACUCGUUUCCGUCCUGGCUAUGGUUGCGGCCCCUUGGGGAGCUUCGUGGUGGUUGUGGCUAACACUCAAGCGAGUAGAGCUUGGGCUCGACGUGGAGUUGCGUUAUACAACCUGGUGCUGUGACCCACAGAUCAGCAGAGGUUUAGAUAGCUCGCUCCACACCAGGGAGGAAGACAAGACCAAAACAGAUUGUCUUCAACUGGUACCGGAGGAACCGGGGCGCUGAUUGACGCUUAAAUUAAUCCAGUGCUUGGCACCGUGAGAUAAAGCCAAUACGGCAGGUGUUCACGUAAAACACAUUGACUUUAAUGUCCCUAUCUACUAUCUAGCGAAACCACAGCCAAGGGAACGGGCUUGGAAUAAUUAGCGGGGAAAGAAGACCCUUUUGAGCUUGACUCUAAUCUGGCAGUGUAAGGAGACAUAAGAGGUGUAGCAUAAGUGGGAGAUAUUAGAUUUCGGUUUGGUAUCGACAAUGAAAUACCACUACUCUUAUUGUUUCCUUACUUACUUGAUUAAAUGGAACGUGUAUCAUUUCCUAGCCAUUAAACGGAUAUAUUUAUUAUAUCUUAUGGUAUUGGGUUUUGAUGCAAGCUUCUUGAUCAACGUAUCACGAGUUUGUUAUAUAAUCGCAAACAAAUUCUUUAAUGAGAAGAUGCAUUUAUGUAUUUUCAAUUUGAAAAUUUGGUAAAACUCCAAUUACUCAAGUAUGAUCCAAUUCAAGGACAUUGCCAGGUAGGGAGUUUGACUGGGGCGGUACAUCUCUCAAAUAAUAACGGAUGUGUCCCAAAGCCAGCUCAGUGCGGACAGAAACCACACAUAGAGCAAAAGGGCAAAUGCUGACUUGAUCUCGGUGUUCAGUACACACAGGGACAGCAAAAGCUCGGCCUAUCGAUCCUUUUGGUUUAAAGAGUUUUUAACAAGAGGUGUCAGAAAAGUUACCAUAGGGAUAACUGGCUUGUGGCGGCCAAGCGUUCAUAGCGACGUCGCUUUUUGAUCCUUCGAUGUCGGCUCUUCCUAUCAUUGUGAAGCAAAAUUCACCAAGCGUUGGAUUGUUCACCCAUGCAAGGGAACGUGAGCUGGGUUUAGACCGUCGUGAGACAGGUUAGUUUUUCCCUACUAAUGACAAAACGUUGUUGCGACAGCAUUCCUGCGUAGUACGAGAGGAACCGCAGGUACGGACCAGUGGCACAAUACUUGGUAUACAGUGGUAUGACGCUACGUCCGUUGGAUUAUGCCUGAACGCCUCUAAGGUCGUAUCCGUGCUGGACUGCAAUGAUAAAUAAGGGGCAAUUUGCAUUGUAUGGCUUCUAAACCAUUAAAAGUUUAUAAUUUAUUUUAUUAGCGACAAUGGAUGUGAUGCCAAUGUAAUUUGUAACAUAGUAAAUUGGGAGGAUCAUCGAUCACCUGAUGCUGCGCUAGUUGCAUAUAAAAACAUUAUUUAAUACA